UACGUAGGCAGCGAGCGUUGUUCGGAGUUACUGGGCGUAAAGGGUGUGUAGGCGGUUUUCUAAGUUUGGUGUGAAAUCUCCCGGCUCAACCGGGAGGGUGCGCCGAAAACUGGGAGACUAGAGUGCGGGAGGGGAGAGUAGAAUUCCUGGUGUAGCGGUGAAAUGCGUAGAUAUCAGGAGGAAUACCGGUGGGGUAGACGGCUCUCUGGACCGCCACUGACGCUGAGACACGAAAGCGUGGGUAGCAAACAGG
This 253-nucleotide ribosomal RNA is filed under the name uncultured bacterium. RNAcentral describes it as "partial 16S ribosomal RNA". It matches the Rfam family "Bacterial small subunit ribosomal RNA", at positions 524 to 776 of the family's 1533-position model. The record is from RNAcentral.